This 253-nucleotide ribosomal RNA is filed under the name uncultured bacterium. RNAcentral's name for it is "partial 16S ribosomal RNA". It matches the Rfam family "Bacterial small subunit ribosomal RNA", at positions 524 to 776 of the family's 1533-position model. The record is from RNAcentral.
UACGUAGGGUGCAAGCGUUGUCCGGAAUUAUUGGGCGUAAAGAGCUCGUAGGCGGUCUGUCACGUCGGCUGUGAAAUCCUGGGGCUCAACUCCGGGACUGCAGCCGAUACGGGCAGACUAGAGUUCGGCAGGGGAGACUGGAAUUCCUGGUGUAGCGGUGAAAUGCGCAGAUAUCAGGAGGAACACCGGUGGCGAAGGCGGGUCUCUGGGCCGAUACUGACGCUGAGGAGCGAAAGCGUGGGGAGCAAACAGG